GACAGAGGGUGCAAACGUUGUUCGGAGUUACUGGGCGUAAAGCGAGUGUAGGCGGUUCGAUAAGUCGGAUGUGAAAGCCCCCGGGCUCAACCCGGGAAGUGCACUCGAUACUGUCGAGCUAGAGUAUCGGAGAGGUUGGUGGAAUUCUCGGUGUAGAGGUGAAAUUCGUAGAUAUCGAGAGGAACACCGGUGGCGAAGGCGGCCAACUGGACGAAUACUGACGCUGAGACUCGAACAGCGUGGGAGGCAAACAGG
Molecule: ribosomal RNA, 255 nt
Filed under: uncultured bacterium
Lineage: Bacteria
Description: partial 16S ribosomal RNA
Rfam family: Bacterial small subunit ribosomal RNA
Source: RNAcentral